UUAAAACAUCACAAUACUUCAGCCAAGGGCGUUUCUGGCCAAAUGUGCACGGGAUUUACAAUUGUUGGCUCUGUCACCAGCCGCGGCGCGCUUCAGACUUAGGUUCAAAACAGUCAAAAAAAGUACGGACACCCUCUAGCUCAGUGCAGCCACGUUUUUGUGGGGUAUUUCUUACUUUAUUUUCUGAUUAAAUUGAAGUUGUCUAAACAAAGCCAAAGCUGGGUAUAAUUUCGUUGAGUUGUAGCAGUGAAUAUUUAACAUUUAUCCCAAAACACUGAAUUCAUACAUGAGCGUCGACGAAGCCAGGAUUUGUAAACUAGGUGUGCGUAGUCGCACUAGGGUUUGUGGCCACGACACGGAGGUUCACUCGAGACUCAAGGAGACGUGUGGGCAUCACACAGCUUUGCAGCACGCCGUAAGACUUCCUUCAUUAUUGGAAAGUUUGGGAAAACGCAGGAGACAACCGAUACAUCAAUAUUAUUUUGGACCUCUCUUUACGGAUCAAGAGGAAUCAGUCAAAAUUCCCGUGAGCUGGAAGGCAUUCCGGAGUUGAGGACCAACAAUGUGCAAAGAAAUAAUAGCCGUGGUAGGCGGCCUAAUUGCAGGUCUUGUGGCAGCAGAGGUCUUUCAAUGCACCGAAUUUAAAAUUGUUUGCUGUGGCGGAGGGUGUGGUGUAAUCUGCUGGCUUUUUUGCCAUAUUGUUCAAGAGAGUAUUAAAGGUAGCUUUUAGACUGAUCCAGCAAGCUUCCCAGUGCUACAUUUUGAUGGUUGUUAGACGUAGUUGAAUCACAUACAUAACCCACUUACCAGGUGUGGCAAUGGAACUAUUGGAAUAGGAAAAGAUGUACACUUUGAGUGGGGGAUGGGUGCUGGUACAUGUGCCAUUCCAUAUGCGUAUUUUUCACACCACAUUGCGUCCAUGUACAUGCAUAAUUAUUUUAUGUAUUCUCCACUGUAAUUAAGGGAAAGUGAAAUGCGAUGGAUAAGGGAGUAAACCGAAAAAGUACUUAUGAAUUGACAGGAUUGGGUGCUCCAUCUUGUGCGUCAUGCACUCGCACACCCAAGCACAUACACACAGCGAGGACGCUGCCUCAUGAGAUAAACUAAAAAGAACUGGAAACCGAGGACACUAGCCUUGGACUGUCAUUACAAGUCAGGAAUACUUCCAACAGUCGCAAACUAGCAUCGAUGUUUCUAACAUCCUUGUUCCUUAUUACAGCCUUGGGUAUAAUUAUGGAGAUUGCAAGCAAAAGGGCGUCCUCUUUCAAAACUGUUGUCUCCAGUUUAAAAUAAAAACCAUGGGCGGGAUGAGCAGAUGGGUCGAUUGCAGUAUUUUUGGGCUAAGACUCGUUGAGUAUAAUUAUAACCUGCUAAUGUAGAGAGAAUUUGUGAAUUGAAAUACUUCUAUUGGCCUUUGAUGCAUCGUCGACAUAAUAGGGUGCGCUAUUUUUUAGUAGGUACAAUUUGGAGUAAACCCAAAAGAUGUACGUCCAAACCAAAUAGCGCACCUUUUGUGCCCGCCUUCCGCAAAUGGGCUAAUAACUGCUAUACGUCCUAGCUUUAAGUUUAAACACGUAGAUAGGCUGCAUUUGCAUGCUGUGACUGCAGCUGGAAAAGGGUCUAUGAUAGCCAAAGCCAAGCUACUCCUACAAUGCAUGAUAUGCGGCAAAGGGGGACCCCCCUCUAGUGUGUCUUCUUUUGUGUUGAUGGAAUCUUCGGAAUUCCUUUCAGAUUUCGGGGGGGGGGUGCAGUAGGCACAAUAGUCUUAGGGUAUACAGCUUGAGCAUCACAGGGUGGGGGUCCCCUUUUGCCGCAUAUCGUUCAUGAUAUAAAGCUGCUGCAGCCACUUCCCAGGCACGCGUGUUGCAUCUUACCAUAACUGAGCAUAUCUGCCUUGCGCAGAAGCGUCCCCUUAUCAGCUGAAAAGAGCCAUGUUUAAUAGUUGGGAGCGUUCAUUUUUGUUGGUAAGCGAUUGGUACAGUCCACUCAUUCAAGUGUUACUUUCUGGCCAGCUCAUUAGGCCUACCAUGAAAAAUACCCCGCAGUAUCUUUUCAACAAGUAGAUUGGUGGGCACCCAAAAUGGUGAGAUUAUGUAAAUAAUGUGUCAGGAUCAACGUCCUGCUUCUUUGGGCUUCCACCUGAGAGCUAAAUGAAUAAAAAUAGUUGGAAAAUUGUCCUUUAGUGCUCAAAAAUUGAGCCAUAGGCAUGCCAUUUGAAAAUGGCUGCAACAUGGAGAUUACGAAACUAUCACUAUUCUGGGUGAUUUUGUACAUUUGAAUGAUUAUAAAUAAAUAUCGCUAUUCCACCAAAAAUGAAAAGAAUUCGGAAGAUUAAGGACAAAAUGAUAUUUGAAAUUUGUUUAAGGAAACCAAGGAAUGUGGACUUGCAUAUUAUUGGUCAGUGCACAUGCUGUUUUCACUCUGUUUUCAAUGGGCACCUUCGAGUCGUAGGGGUCGUUUAACGAGUGAAUUUCUUGUUUGUGAACCAGUAGAAACGCAGUGUUCCCAUCAUGUCAUGGCCUAUAAAUAUCAACUGCAAAAUGUUAUUUAUUUUUUUCAUACUUCGGGGCUUGUUUUCAAUCUUGAAUUAACUUUCAGAUCUCAAAAAUUCUGUUAGUUUCCAAGAGAGAGUGAUAUAUAUAAUCGAUAUCCUAGUUCUCAAGAAUAUUUGUUUUUACAUUACAGUAAUGGAUGCUGUAUUGUUUCAGUUUGUGAUAAAUGCCCUUAGACUAUAAUUAUCUGAACCAACCAGUAAUAUAAAGCUUGUCGAGCAAGAGUGCGACCAUAUAAA
This 2791-nucleotide long non-coding RNA is filed under the name Acanthaster planci (crown-of-thorns starfish). RNAcentral's name for it is "uncharacterized LOC110980776, transcript variant X2". The record is from RNAcentral. Lineage: Eukaryota; Metazoa; Echinodermata; Asteroidea; Valvatida; Acanthasteridae.